AGAACGAACGCUGGCGGCAGGCUUAACACAUGCAAGUCGAGCGCCUCGCAAGAGGAGCGGCAGACGGGUGAGUAACGCGUGGGAAUCUACCGUACCCUACGGAAUAGCUCCGGGAAACUGGAAUUAAUACCGUAUACGCCCUUCGGGGGAAAGAUUUAUCGGGGUAUGAUGAGCCCGCGUUGGAUUAGCUAGUUGGUGGGGUAAAGGCCUACCAAGGCGACGAUCCAUAGCUGGUCUGAGAGGAUGAUCAGCCACAUUGGGACUGAGACACGGCCCAAACUCCUACGGGAGGCAGCAGUGGGGAAUAUUGGACAAUGGGCGCAAGCCUGAUCCAGCCAUGCCGCGUGAGUGAUGAAGGCCCGAGGGUUGUAAAGCUCUUUCACCGGUGAAGAUAAUGACGGUAACCGGAGAAGAGCCCCGGCUAACUUCGUGCCAGCAGCCGC
Molecule: ribosomal RNA, 443 nt
Filed under: uncultured bacterium
Lineage: Bacteria
Description: SSU rRNA
Rfam family: Bacterial small subunit ribosomal RNA
Source: RNAcentral